RNAcentral lists this long non-coding RNA (317 nucleotides) under Brassica napus (rape). Its description in RNAcentral is "long non-coding RNA (BNAP_LNC026837)". Lineage: Eukaryota; Viridiplantae; Streptophyta; Magnoliopsida; Brassicales; Brassicaceae. The record is from RNAcentral.
CUCAAGGCUGACCCUGCAGAGCAUAAACCCCAAUCCCUCACUUAUGAACCUUCGUUGACUCUUUAAUUUAGUUGUUGGUGCGCAUGACAUUCCUCGAAUCCAAGAUCUCACCCUUUAACAAUUCUUCCGUAUGAUAAGUUGUCACCGAUUGACCUGCAAAAUUAAGAUUGAUGCUCUACAUGCCCAGCUUGGAACCACAGAACCGGUAGUUCUUACAGGCGGGUUGUUGCAAUUUAUUUCUUAGCAGUUCUUAUUAUUUAUGUUUUAAUGACUGUUAAACUCCUAUCUCUAUAUAUAUAUUUAUACUGUCAACCGAU